RNAcentral lists this long non-coding RNA (1255 nucleotides) under Homo sapiens (human). RNAcentral describes it as "HSALNT0310473". The record is from RNAcentral. Lineage: Eukaryota; Metazoa; Chordata; Mammalia; Primates; Hominidae.
AGUGAUUCUCGUGCCUGUCUCCUGAGUAGCUGGGACUACAGAUGAACACCACAGACGGGGUAAAUGAUUUGCCUAAAGUCACACAGCUCGUAAGGGCCAGAGCCCACACUUUCAUCCACUAGCCUAUAUUCUGUGCUGUCAUCACUGAUAGCAGUGACUGAGACUGAGAGACAAAGUCACUUAAGAGCUGAUGGCUGGUAAGUGACAAGAACCAGGAUUUACAAUUCAGGUAACUGUCCAUCAGUAGAGCCUGUGUCUCAACAUAUAACCUAUGUCUGCUCACACGCCCUAGAAAGCACUGACAGUUCAGGACUCCCAGUGUGCUCCCCAACAGCGUGCAGUGGCCAAGGCCAAGAUCUUCCCUGGGGAGUGAAGUGGUGAGAGGGGCGCAGGACAGGCAAGGACAGAGUCACGUAACUCUUAGAGGAGUCAGGCAUGGGCGUGCGGCUGAGGGCUGGCCCCUGGGCCUCAGCAUACAGACUUCCUCUAGUGCAGGGGCCCACAAGCUUGUUCUGUAAAGGGUCAUGCGUGGCCUCCAUCACAUAUUCUUUAUUCUUCUCAUUCUUAUAACCCUUUAAAAAUGUGAAAAGCCAUUCCCCAGGUUGGGGGUGGCCUGCGAGCUCUCAUGUCCAUUCCUGCCAUGAUCUCUGGGCGCACCCUCUCUGUCACCACUUCAGGGACAGAGGGACUCUGAGUUCUGACAACCGUCCCUUUCUGAGAAGCCAUUCACCCAGCACACUGUUCAGUAAACUUCCACUGGGAUCUCCUGGAGACCAGGCCAUGACCCAGUCAUGAAGGAGGGAUGGAGCGAGGACAGUCUUUGCUCUUAGGAGCUCAGGCUCCUGCAGGGGAAGAGACAGAGCUACGACUCAGCGUGAUGAGUACAGGGUGGAACAGGAGCUCAGAGGCAAGCCAUUGCCCAGCCCUGAGGACAGUGGAGGCAAGAAAGGCUGCUCAAAACAGGUCCCGCCUGAGCAGAGGCUUAAAGGGGCAAGGGGUUGCCCAAGAGAACAGGGCUGGACCCCACAGGGCACAGAGGUGGGAGAACACUGGGACCUGGGGCCUAAGUCCUCUGGAAUGCAGAGGCAGUGAGCACCAGAACAUCACUGUGCACCAUGGGGAGGGUGCGGGACUCAGACUAAAGGCGCUGGCCAAGGUGGGACAAGGAUGGCCAAGAUGCACAGAAAGAGCCUAGUGACUGACAGGGGAAUGGAUUCAGGCUGGGAAGGAGGCUGUGGCUGUUGCCCAAGCAAAA